UACAGAGGGUGCGAGCGUUGUUCGGAAUUAUUGGGCGUAAAGGGCGCGUAGGCGGUGCGGUAAGUCACCUGUGAAAUCUCCUGGCUCAACCGGGAGCUUGCAGGCGAAACUGCCGUGCUGGAGUGUGGGAGAGGUGCGUGGAAUUCCUGGUGUAGCGGUGAAAUGCGUAGAUAUCAGGAGGAACACCUGUGGCGAAAGCGGCGCACUGGACCACAACUGACGCUGAGGCGCGAAAGCUAGGGGAGCAAACAGG
Molecule: ribosomal RNA, 253 nt
Filed under: uncultured bacterium
Lineage: Bacteria
Description: partial 16S ribosomal RNA
Rfam family: Bacterial small subunit ribosomal RNA
Source: RNAcentral